UACGGCCACAUCACGUUGAAACACCGGUUCCCGUACGAUCACUGAACUUAAGCAACAUAGAGCCUGGUCAGUACCUAGAUGGGUGCCUGCUUGUGUAAACCAGAUGCUGU
Non-coding RNA from Acanthosepion pharaonis, 110 nucleotides. The record is from the annotation of a GenBank genome assembly. NCBI's taxonomy places the organism in Eukaryota, Metazoa, Mollusca, Cephalopoda, Sepiida, Sepiidae.